UACGUAGGGGGCGAGCGUUGUCCGGAUUUAUUGGGCGUAAAGAGCGUGUAGGCGGCUUGGUAGGUCUGCUGUGAAAACUCGGGGCUCAACCCCGAGACGUCGGUGGAAACCACCUGGCUAGAGUCCGGAAGAGGAGAGUGGAAUUCCUGGUGUAGCGGUGAAAUGCGCAGAUAUCAGGAAGAACACCAAUGGCGAAGGCAGCUCACUGGGACGGUAUCGACGCUGAGACGCGAAAGCGUGGGGAGCAAACAGG
Molecule: ribosomal RNA, 253 nt
Filed under: uncultured bacterium
Lineage: Bacteria
Description: partial 16S ribosomal RNA
Rfam family: Bacterial small subunit ribosomal RNA
Source: RNAcentral